GAAAUGCGAUACGUAAUGCGAAUUGCAGAAUUCAGUGAAUCAUCGAAUUUUUGAACGCAAAUUGCGCUCUCGGGAUAGGCCUGAGAGCAUGUUUCUUUGAGCCUCGUGUCUAACCCACCUCGGCUGCGUGCCGGAGAAUGAAAGUCUUGUGUCAAUGGCAUGCAAGUCUUUUUAAGCUUAUUGAGUCCAUUCUUCGAUUCGCCUUGCUAGAUGUCUUCUGCAAUGCGGCGCGAUUAGAUUAACUUUCUUCUCGCUGUAGCGUAGUCGAUAACAUGUAAAGCAGUCUGAGAUAUGAACGAUACGGAACCUUUUUUGACUUAGAGCUCAAAUGAAGCAAGAUAACCCGCUGAACUUAA
RNAcentral lists this unclassified non-coding RNA (356 nucleotides) under uncultured fungus. RNAcentral's name for it is "sequence contains ITS1". The stretch from base 1 to 106 matches the Rfam family "5.8S ribosomal RNA", at positions 50 to 154 of the family's 154-position model. Lineage: Eukaryota; Fungi. The record is from RNAcentral.